UUUCAUUUCCUCCCGCUUCAAUCCAUUGUUCCCAUCGUCUUCACCCAACCAGGAAGACGAUCGAACCCAACCACGGAACCUGGUCUUCUGUUGCGAACCACGAACCACCACGAACCAGGGGAGCCCUGUCGUCUUCACGGAACCACUUGGUCUUCUGGGGCGAAGCACGAACCACGGAGCCCUCUCGUCUUCUCGUCUUCAUCGAACCACGGAGGUCUUCUACAGCGAACCACAAACGGCGGAGCCCUCUCGUCUUCACCGAACCACGGAGGUCUUCUGGUUCUAACCACGGAACCCAAGGAGCCCUGUUGUCUUCAAACACGAAGCCCUGUCAAAUGUGAAGCCCAAGCCCGAAAACUCGAACCCUAACCCUAACCCUAACCCGAACCCGAACCCUAACUCUCUCUUCAAAACCAGUUGCUCCUUUACCAAACUUUCUCUGUUUUGCUGGGUUUGUGAUGGCGCGUGGAAGAAAGAAGCGGGAUUUGCAGGAAGGAUGUGGUCCUAAGGGGGAAGGAGUAGUUGGAGAAGCAGUUGAGCCUCUGACGAAGAAGGAUGCUGGGGCUUCGGUGGAGAAGGCCGAGAACGGGGAUGCUUUUGUUAAUGGAGGUGGGGUUUCUAUGGGAAGUGGGCCAAGGACUCGGGGGGUGAAGAGGCUGAACUAUGCUGAAAUCAUGGGCGAAGAUGAUGGUGAGGUUUUGGUGAAGAAGCGUCGGAGGAAGAAAAGCAAGCUAUCUACUGGUGAAGAUUAUGUUGUUCAGAAGAAUGAGAAGGUUGAGGAUAACAAUGGGUUGGCGUCAGAACAAAUUUUAGAUUACGCAGAUAAGCAGAGGAUACUGGAUAGGCCAAUAAAGAAGCGUGGGAGGAAGAGAAAGAACUUAUCGGCCGAGAAAGGCCAUGGAGAAAGUUGUGGUGCUCAGCAGGAUGAGAAAGUUCAGGAAAUUAAUGGGUUCGAUCCAGGGCAAGGCAUUGAUGGCAAUGCAAAUAAGGGGAAGAUGCGGGGAAGGCCAAAGAAGAAGCUUGGUAGAGUUGGAGUUGCAAACAAGGUUACCAAGGAGGCGGUUUUGGAAAACAAAAAGAAGAAAAAUGGGGCAGAGAGGAAGGAUUUUUGUGGAAGGAACAGUAGGACAGGUUAUUCAUUGAGGGCUACAGAAGUUCCGAACCAAGAUAUUGCUAAAAUAAAUAAAUAUGAUAAAUGGAUCGAAGAGGAGUCCUUAAUGUGUCAUCAAUGUCAGAGGAAUGAUAAAGGCGAGGUUGUUCGGUGCAAGAGUUGUAAGAGAAAACGAUAUUGUGUACCUUGCCUAAAAAGAUGGUAUCCAAAUAUGGAGAAGGAUGCUGUUGCAGAGGCUUGUCCAGUGUGUCGUGGAAAUUGCAAUUGCAAGGCAUGCUUACGAUUGGACGUGCCUGUUAAGAAUUUGAAGAACCUAGAAUUUACUGUCAGUGAAGACGAGCAGUUUGAGCACUAUAAAUAUGUGCUGCAAACAAUGCUUCCAAUUUUGAAGCAACUUAAUGAAGAACAAAUGACUGAAAAGGAAAUGGAGGCCAAAAGACAAGGGAUAUUGCAUCCGCUUUUAGAGAUAAAGCAAGUAGAUUGCCCUAUUGACGAACGUAUGUAUUGUGACAACUGCAAGACUUCCAUAUAUGAUUUUCACAGAAGUUGUCCUAGAUGUUCCUAUGAUCUUUGCCUUAUCUGUUGCCGGGAGAUUCGUGAUGAAAACAUCUGGGGAGUUGAUGAAGAAGUGAUUAUGAAGUAUAUUGACCGUGGCUUUGACUAUAUGCAUGGUGGAGAGAGUAAGGAAGUGAAAUUACCUGCUGAGACGUGCCCUGUGGAUCAUAUGAAGUCAAAAUCUGGGUGGAAAUCAAAAGAAGAUGGUAGCAUUCCUUGCCCCUCAAAAGACAUGGGUGGUUGUGGUCUGGGAAUUCUAGAAUUGCGAUGUGUUUUUUCGGAAAAUUUCAUUUCAGACUUGGUCAAAAAAGCAGAAGAAAUAGCCAGAAGUUGCAAACUUAUGGAUGUGGCUGCAACAUCUUUACAACGGUGUUUGUGCUUCAACUCUGUGGGAGAAGUCGACUUCAGCAAUGAUAGGUUACGAAAAGCGGCGUCUCGAGAAGAUUCUGAUGACAACUAUUUGUAUUGCCCGAGGGCCCAAGAUAUACACCAGGGGGAUUUGAAACAUUUCCAGUGGCAUUGGAGCAGAGCUGAGCCCAUACUUGUCAGUAAUGUGCUUGAAUCUGCAUCUGGUUUAAGUUGGGAACCAGAGGUCAUGUGGCGUGCAGUCCGUCAGUUGAAACAUGCCAAACAUGAUAGGGAGUUGGAAGUUAAGGCUAUUGAUUGCUUGGAUUGGUGUGAGUGCAAUAUCAAUAUCCACCAGUUCUUUACAUGGUAUAUGCAUGGUCGUGUUGAUCAGCGCUUGUGGCCCUUGAUACUAAAACUGAAAGACUGGCCUCCAUCUAAUUUGUUUGAGGAACGCUUGCCACGUCAUGGUGCUGAGUUCAUCUGUUGCUUGCCCUUUAAGGAAUAUACACAUCCACGCAAGGGUCUUUUAAAUAUUGCAGUCAACUUGCCUGAGAAAUCUCUUAAGCCAGAUAUGGGCCCCAAGACUUAUAUUGCUUAUGGAAUUCCUCAGGAGCUUGGCCGUGGGGACUCUGUCACUAAGCUUCACUGCGACAUGUCUGAUGCGGUAAAUGUUUUGACACAUACUGCCAAGCCGACCCUUAAAGCUGAGACACUCGAGAGUAUAGAGAAGUUGAAAAGGAAGCACUUUGAGCAAGACCAAAAAGAAAUCUUUGGGGAUUUUCUGCCUGUGGAUGAAAAGGUCAAGAUUAACAUUUCUGGCGGUGGGUCUUGUACACUUACUGCUAAUGAUAAAGAAUUUAGCGGUGAACCCGGGGAUCAGAACACCUCUGUAACCGUUACAGAACCAGCUAAUCAUGUUGCUCAACUCGCUGGUGAGUCAAGGAUGGAUGGGGCAGGCUUUUCAAGGGGCUCAGUGCUGGAAAAGACUGAAGUGCCAAAAGUGGAUGAAGCUAACAAUGGUGGGAGUUUUCUUACAAGUUCUGGAAAUAAUUUGGAUGGGUUAGAAGCUUCUAAGAGUGGUGCCCUUUGGGACAUCUUCCGAAGACAAGACAGUCCUAAGCUGCAGGAGUAUCUUAAGAAGCAUUUCCGGGAAUUCAGGCACAUCCAUUGUUGUCCAUUGCCACAGGUUGUUCACCCUAUACACGACCAGACCUUUUAUCUGACUGUGGAGCACAAGAGAAAGCUCAAGGAUGAGUAUGGAAUUGAACCAUGGACAUUUGUCCAAAAUCUUGGGGAUGCUGUCUUCAUUCCUGCUGGCUGUCCGCAUCAAGUCAGAAACCUAGAGUCAUGCAUAAAGGUCGCACUAGACUUUGUCUCACCUGAAAAUGUUGGUGAGUGCAUACGUUUGACAGAGGAAUUCCGUACACUUCCCCGUAAUCAUAGGGCCAAGGAGGACAAGUUGGAGGUGAAGAAAAUGACUGUUCAUGCUCUGAGCCAGGUUGUUGAAAGUUUAGAGCAGAAGCCAAGGUGACUAUUUUCUGCCUCGAGAUUCAGAACUUGUUCAACUUCAUUGGUCAAAAACGGAAGUGUCUCGCUGUUUUGCAUGCUCGAUUUUCAGAUGACUAUUUUCUGCCUCGAGAUUCAGAGUUCGUUCAACUUCAAUAUUGUUGGAGCAUUGUUGGCAACUGUUGAAGGACCAGUUGAAAUGGAUUCAGCGUUACACAAAGGAUGAGAUGAUAAAGUGAAGGUCAAUGAUGUCUCUGACAUAUUCGUGUACCUCAGCAGUUGCACCUGAUUCACCUAUGGAUUCAGUUGGCGGUACAGAGGUCGAGAAUGUAAUGAAUAAUAAUGUCAUCAAAUUGGAUAGGCUAAUGUGAAGAAAAACUGAGAACGGAAAACGUAAGGCCCAAUGCAGGCAUGAGAUGACCUUGUAGAGCUAUGCAAGUGUAAGUAUACUCUCCUAGAGGAAUCACAUGCUCAGGAAAAAGAAUUUUUUCAACUCAAGACCGAAAAGAUGACAUAUGAUCGAGAAACGGAGGGAAAUAAAAGUAGACAAGAGGACAAGAGAUUGAGGCUGGAGGCGGAGAAAUUGGAAAUCGCCCCGUGGGAGACAGAGGAAUGCAUAAUGUUGCUUGAUUUGAGUAUGUUGCCUGGAGUUCAGGAGGUAUAUUUCCAGCAACUUCAAAUGAAGAUAUUGGCGAGACGCAAUGCAUCAGAAAAUUGAGGUUAUAUUUUUUUUGGAACUUAUUUUUUUAUUCAGUAUUCGAGCAUUUGUAUUUUAUGAUUGGCACAUUAGUAUAACUUGUUUGACUGUUGAGACUGAUGUUCAGAGUUUUUUUCAAGGAUU
Juglans regia (Persian walnut) is the source of this 4361-nucleotide RNA transcript. It is a transcript of the gene named lysine-specific demethylase JMJ25-like, with no coding region annotated. The transcript is spliced from 14 exons. Lineage: Eukaryota; Viridiplantae; Streptophyta; Magnoliopsida; Fagales; Juglandaceae. The record is from RefSeq and is a predicted model, not a curated record.